RNAcentral lists this ribosomal RNA (220 nucleotides) under uncultured bacterium. Its description in RNAcentral is "partial 16S ribosomal RNA". It matches the Rfam family "Bacterial small subunit ribosomal RNA", at positions 524 to 740 of the family's 1533-position model. The record is from RNAcentral.
UACGUAGGGUGCAAGCGUUUGUCCGGAAUUAUUGGGCGUAAAGAGCUCGUAGGCGGUCUGUCGCGUCUGCUGUGAAAACUCAGGGCUUAACCCUGAGCUUGCAGUGGGUACGGGCAGACUAGAGUGCGGUAGGGGAGACUGGAAUUCCUGGUGUAGCGGUGGAAAUGCGCAGAUAUCAGGAGGAACACCGGGUGGCGAAGGCGGGUCUCUGGGCCGUAAC